This 777-nucleotide ribosomal RNA is filed under the name uncultured Neocallimastigales. RNAcentral's name for it is "partial large subunit ribosomal RNA". It matches the Rfam family "Eukaryotic large subunit ribosomal RNA", at positions 24 to 637 of the family's 3401-position model. The record is from RNAcentral. Lineage: Eukaryota; Fungi; Neocallimastigomycota; Neocallimastigomycetes; Neocallimastigales.
UGUAGUCUCGCACAGAUGCAUAUCAAUAAGCGGAGGAAAAGAAACUAACAAGGAUUCCCCUAGUAACGGCGAGUGAAGCGGGAAGAGCUCAAAUUUGAAAUCUUAAAGGGUUUCCCUUUACGAAUUGUAGUUUAAAGAAGUGUUUUCUGUUGAGGUUUUGGUAAAAGUUCUUUGGAAUAGGACAUCAUAGAGGGUGAGAAUCCCGUAUUUGACCUUUACUUUCAACUUUGUGAUACACUUUCAAAGAGUCGGAUUGUUUGGGAAUGCAGUCCAAAAUGGGUGGUAAAUUUCAUCUAAAGCUAAAUAUUGGCGAGAGACCGAUAGCGAACAAGUACCGUGAGGGAAAGAUGAAAAGAACUUUGAAAAGAGAGUUAAACAGUACGUGAAAUUGUCAAAAGGGAAGCGUUUGACACCAGUGUUGUUUUUCCUGAAAAUCAAUUAAAGAACUGUUUAUGCUAAGCUUGUUUAGACUUUAUCAGCUAACUGUUUAGUUUUGAGCUUUUCUUUAAUGCACUUUUCAGUUAACAAGUCAACAUCAAUUUCUUUUGCUGUAAAAAAGCUUGAGGAAGGUGGCUUGAGAUUCGUCUUAAGUGUUUAUAGCCUCUUGCCUAUGCAGUCGGAGAGAUUGAGGUCUGCAGCGUAGAUCCUUCGGGGCUAAAUGCAUUUGUGCUAAGUUAUAGCAUUUUAUAGACGACUUGUUGACUAUGAUUUGUCUUGUAGCUUACUCGCUUAUGUUAUUUUACCUACGCUUAGGAUGUUGACAGCAGUAUAGACUGU